AACCACUACGAUACCCCGCAGGGUCCUUGGAAGGCUGAAAGUAAACAUUUAUAACUAUAUUGUAACGACUUUGUUUCGUAUGCUAUAAAAUCAGGAACUAUGUCUGGAGUUUUUGUGAAGCGAGGUGUUCAUAAAACAUUCCUGCCUUGGCUUAUUCAGAAAUCAAAAAAUGUUACUACUGUUCAAGCAAAACCAAAAAAAUUAGAAGUUUUCAUUGAUGACAAGCUAGUUUUGGUGGAUCCAGGCACCACUGUUUUACAAG
Long non-coding RNA from Stegodyphus dumicola, 262 nucleotides. The record is from RefSeq and is a predicted model, not a curated record. NCBI's taxonomy places the organism in Eukaryota, Metazoa, Arthropoda, Arachnida, Araneae, Eresidae.